Molecule: ribosomal RNA, 253 nt
Filed under: uncultured bacterium
Lineage: Bacteria
Description: partial 16S ribosomal RNA
Rfam family: Bacterial small subunit ribosomal RNA
Source: RNAcentral
UACAGAGGUCUCAACCGUUGUUCGGAUUCAUUGGGCGUAAAGGGUGCGUAGGCGGCGGGGUAAGUCAGGUGUGAAAUCUCGGGGCUCAACCCCGAAACUGCACUUGAUACUGCCUCGCUUGAGUACUGGAGAGGAGACUGGAAUUUACGGUGUAGCAGUGAAAUGCGUAGAUAUCGUAAGGAAGACCAGUGGCGAAGGCGAGUCUCUGGACAGUUCCUGACACUGAGACACGGAGGCCAGGGGAGCAAACGGG